This 189-nucleotide non-coding RNA is filed under the name Lederbergia citri. RNAcentral's name for it is "6S RNA". It matches the Rfam family "6S / SsrS RNA". Rfam says of the family: E. coli 6S RNA was the first non coding RNA to be sequenced, but its function was unknown until recently. It consists of 184 nucleotides that fold into an extended hairpin structure with a large single-stranded internal bulge. The 6S RNA specifically associates with RNA polymerase holoenzyme containing the sigma70 specificity factor. The record is from RNAcentral. Lineage: Bacteria; Bacillati; Bacillota; Bacilli; Caryophanales; Bacillaceae.
GAAGUCCUGAUGUGUUCGUCUAUACACCUUUUCGUUUUGACCGACAUCUCAUACCUACGGGAGUUUGGAGUUUCCAGACUGAAUGCAAGCCUCUACGAGAGGACACAUAAGGCCUGGAGCAGGACACCCACCUGCCAAGAGCGGGUUCAAAACAAAGGAUCUUUAACCGACGGCACGAUUGGGACUUUU